This is a long non-coding RNA of Xiphophorus hellerii (green swordtail), 245 nucleotides long. RefSeq lists it as uncharacterized. The transcript is spliced from 2 exons. The record is from RefSeq and is a predicted model, not a curated record. Lineage: Eukaryota; Metazoa; Chordata; Actinopteri; Cyprinodontiformes; Poeciliidae.
AUAUUUGUAAAUAAAUUCAUUUUAAAAAUAUAUCUCUUGAACUAAAAAAAGUUUUAAAAAUAAAUAUUUUUUUCAAAGUUUGAUAGGACUCUUUUUUUCCCAAACAGACCUGCCAUCUGUAGUCCAGGUAAAUCCACAUUAAUACGUCACGUUUUGGAGCUAUAAUUUACAAAAUAUCACAUUUUGAAUUUUCCUUUUUAAAAAGCCAAAUGAAUAUCAGAUGUUGACCGUUUUCUUUUAAAUGG